RNAcentral lists this long non-coding RNA (585 nucleotides) under Capra hircus (goat). RNAcentral describes it as "lncRNA (ENSCHIG00010030419.1)". Lineage: Eukaryota; Metazoa; Chordata; Mammalia; Artiodactyla; Bovidae. The record is from RNAcentral.
GAUCUUCCCAACCCAGGGAUUGAACCCAGGUCUCCCGCAUUGCAGGUGGAGUCUUCACCUGCUGAGUCACCAGGGAAGCCCAUAUAAAGUAGGAAACAGCUGGUUAUUUACAACUAUUUAGCAUUUCUUUUGACCCUAUUGUAUCCUAACUCAGCCUAAAAUCUCUCCAUUCCCACACCAUCUUUGAGUGCACUGGGGACGAGGAUGGUCUUUACUCCAUUAAAACCUAGAAAAUCAAAGAAACAAGACUGUGCUAUCAGGAUGAAUUAAACAGAGUGAAGCCAAAGGGGCACAUCUUCCUACAGCAGCAGGCCCCAGCAGACCCCAGGGCCAAUUAUAAAAUCGGAUCCAGCAGAAGAAAGGCUCUGACAUGAAAAACACUGCAUGAUUCUACGGAAUAUGUGUUCAAAUGGAUUCUAAGGGCGUUAUACCAGAGUAUACAUUGGUUUCAAGUUUUCACUGAAGAGAAGAGCCAGAAAGAAAGGAAUAUUUAUGGAAUUUUAACUCCUGCAACAAUCCUGUGGGGCAGACUUAUCAUCUCCAUUGACUGAUGAGGAAACUGAUAUGUGGGUUUCCAAGAAGUUG